GCCUAGGUGAUCUAAAGGGUUAGGUCGCUCGCCCGGAAAGCAAGAGAUCCGAGUUCAACUCCCGGCCAAGGUA
Molecule: transfer RNA, 73 nt
Filed under: Trachymyrmex septentrionalis
Lineage: Eukaryota; Metazoa; Arthropoda; Insecta; Hymenoptera; Formicidae
Rfam family: tRNA
About the family: Transfer RNA (tRNA) molecules are approximately 80 nucleotides in length. Their secondary structure includes four short double-helical elements and three loops (D, anti-codon, and T loops).
Source: Rfam by way of RNAcentral